This 135-nucleotide small RNA is filed under the name Gracilibacter sp. Its description in RNAcentral is "c-di-AMP sequence". It matches the Rfam family "c-di-AMP riboswitch aptamer (ydaO/yuaA leader)". From Rfam's summary of the family: This family represents a conserved RNA structure found upstream of the ydaO and yuaA genes in Bacillus subtilis and related genes in other bacteria. The ydaO/yuaA element is thought to act as a genetic "off" switch for the ydaO and yuaA genes in its native state. It is believed that the element may be triggered during osmotic shock leading to activation of ydaO, a predicted amino acid transporter gene, and members of the yuaA-yubG operon which code for KtrA and KtrB K+ transporters. The record is from RNAcentral. Lineage: Bacteria; Bacillati; Bacillota; Clostridia; Eubacteriales; Gracilibacteraceae.
AACAAGCCAGCGCUGAGUUUCACGUAUGUGAAAGCGGGGGAACCAAUAAUUCGGGGUGAAUCCGGCAUAGCCGGUAGGGCUACCUCUCUAGUCCGAAUCCGUCAGCUAACUUCGUAAGCGCUUUAAAGAAGGCAC